Molecule: ribosomal RNA, 1398 nt
Filed under: bacterium NLAE-zl-P696
Lineage: Bacteria
Description: 16S ribosomal RNA
Rfam family: Bacterial small subunit ribosomal RNA
Source: RNAcentral
AGUCGAGGGGCAGCAUUUCAGUUUGCUUGCAAACUGGAGAUGGCGACCGGCGCACGGGUGAGUAACACGUAUCCAACCUGCCGAUAACUCGGGGAUAGCCUUUCGAAAGAAAGAUUAAUACCCGAUGGNAUAAUCAGACCGCAUGGUCUUAUUAUUAAAGAAUUUCGGUUAUCGAUGGGGAUGCGUUCCAUUAGGCAGUUGGUGAGGUAACGGCUCACCAAACCUUCGAUGGAUAGGGGUUCUGAGAGGAAGGUCCCCCACAUUGGAACUGAGACACGGUCCAAACUCCUACGGGAGGCAGCAGUGAGGAAUAUUGGUCAAUGGGCGCAGGCCUGAACCAGCCAAGUAGCGUGAAGGAUGACUGCCCUAUGGGUUGUAAACUUCUUUUAUAUGGGAAUAAAGUUUUCCACGUGUGGAAUUUUGUAUGUACCAUAUGAAUAAGGAUCGGCUAACUCCGUGCCAGCAGCCGCGGUAAUACGGAGGAUCCGAGCGUUAUCCGGAUUUAUUGGGUUUAAAGGGAGCGUAGGUGGACAGUUAAGUCAGUUGUGAAAGUUUGCGGCUCAACCGUAAAAUUUGCAGUUGAUACUGGCUGUCUUGAGUACAGUAGAGGUGGGCGGAAUUCGUGGUGUAGCGGUGAAAUGCUUAGAUAUCACGAAGAACUCCGAUUGCGAAGGCAGCUCACUGGACUGCAACUGACACUGAUGCUCGAAAGUGUGGGUAUCAAACAGGAUUAGAUACCCUGGUAGUCCACACAGUAAACGAUGAAUACUCGCUGUUUGCGAUAUACAGUAAGCGGCCAAGCGAAAGCAUUAAGUAUUCCACCUGGGGAGUACGCCGGCAACGGUGAAACUCAAAGGAAUUGACGGGGGCCCGCACAAGCGGAGGAACAUGUGGUUUAAUUCGAUGAUACGCGAGGAACCUUACCCGGGCUUAAAUUGCAUUUGAAUANUUUGGAAACAGNUUAGCCGCAAGGCAAAUGUGAAGGUGCUGCAUGGUUGUCGUCAGCUCGUGCCGUGAGGUGUCGGCUUAAGUGCCAUAACGAGCGCAACCCUUAUCUUUAGUUACUAACAGGUCAUGCUGAGGACUCUAGAGAGACUGCCGUCGUAAGAUGUGAGGAAGGUGGGGAUGACGUCAAAUCAGCACGGCCCUUACGUCCGGGGCUACACACGUGUUACAAUGGGGGGUACAGAAGGCAGCUACCUGGUGACAGGAUGCUAAUCCCAAAAGCCUCUCUCAGUUCGGAUCGAAGUCUGCAACCCGACUUCGUGAAGCUGGAUUCGCUAGUAAUCGCGCAUCAGCCAUGGCGCGGUGAAUACGUUCCCGGGCCUUGUACACACCGCCCGUCAAGCCAUGAAAGCCGGGGGUACCUGAAGUACGUAACCGCAAGGAGCUCCUAGG